GAUGAAGAACGCAGCGAAAUGCGAUACGUAAUGUGAAUUGCAAAUUCAGUGAAUCAUCGAGUCUUUGAACGCACAUUGCGCCCCCUGGUAUUCCGGGGGGCAUGCCUGUCCGAGCGUCAUUGCUGCCCUCAAGCACGGCUUGUGUGUUGGGCCCCGUCCUCCGAUCCCGGGGGACGGGCCCGAAAGGCAGCGGCGGCACCGCGUCCGGUCCUCGAGCGUAUGGGGCUUUGUCACCCGCUCUGUAGGCCCGGCCGGCGCUUGCCGAUCAAUCCAAAUUUUUUAUCCAGGUUGACCUCGGAUCAGGUAGGGAUACCCGCUGAACUUAAGCAUAUCAAUAAGCGGAGGA
This 346-nucleotide unclassified non-coding RNA is filed under the name soil metagenome. RNAcentral's name for it is "partial contains 5.8S ribosomal RNA, internal transcribed spacer 2, and large subunit ribosomal RNA". The stretch from base 1 to 119 matches the Rfam family "5.8S ribosomal RNA", at positions 35 to 154 of the family's 154-position model. The record is from RNAcentral.